CCUCUAUGUACACAAAAAAUGUAAAAUACACUAACUAACUAAAAACACCCUUUCUCUCUUACUUUCUCUUUAUAUCUCUUUCUUUUAUUUCUCUAAAAAAUCUAAUCUAAUUUUUUUUUUUUGUUAUUUGGCAAAUAAACCCUUUGAUGUACAGCAUUCAUGUUUGGCCCUUUGGGAAUUUGAAUUCUAUAAAUAUCAGUACUGGAAAAAUCAGUACGAGAGAGCUUUUUCUUAGCCACUAUAUUUUUUUCUAUUCAGUUGUUUCCACGAGACAACUAUGCUUUGAGAAAAUAUAUAACUAUUUAAGAAACUUUACUACGUUUCUUUUUUUUUUCUUUUUUUUUUUUUUGUAAAAUUUGAUGAACACCUUUGUCAUCGUUGAUGGGAAUUUCACCGUGCUAUAAUAAGCUUUUGUCACCAACCAAUAGAAUUUCAUUAUUUCAAAUUCGAUAUCUUUUAAAAAAGAAAACAAAAUAUUCUCAAAUUAUAUUAUGUUUUAAAAAAAAAAAAAAAAGAUAAUAGUUAGAAAAAAAAAGAAUUAAAAAAUAUAUAUUUUUAAUGUUCUCAACAAAACACUAAACCCUAAAUCCUAAUCCCUAAACUCUAAAUCCUAAACCCUAAACCCUUGGAUAAACCCUAAACCCUUGGAUAAAUCCUAAACCAUUGGGUAAACCCUAAACCCUUGGAUAAAUCCUAAACUCUAAAUAAAAAACACUAAAACCCUAAAUCCUAAACGCUUGAAUGUUUUAGUGUAUAGUGAUUUUGAUUUAGAGUUUUGGAUUUAUCCUAGAGUUUAGGGUUUAUCCAAGGGUUUAGGGUUUAAGAUUAAGGGUUUAGGGAUUAGAAUUUAGGGUUUAGGGUUUAAUGUUAUGCUGACGACGUAAAAUAUUUUUUUUGUAAUUAUUAUUUUUUUUUUUACUUUUUAAUUUUAAAAACAUAAUAUAAUUUGACAAUAUUUUGUUUUCUUUUUUAAAAGAUAUCGAAUAUAAAAUAAAACAAUCCUAUUGGUUGAUGAACCUAAGAAUAAGUCUUAACAAAAUGUACGUACUCUCUUCGAAAUUAUUAAACAAUUCAAACCUUCCAAGCUUCCUUUUUCUAACAAACAACAAAUUCGAGUGAACACUCAUUUUUAUCCAGUUUUCG
This 1143-nucleotide long non-coding RNA is filed under the name Brassica rapa (field mustard). Its description in RNAcentral is "long non-coding RNA (BRAP_LNC007352)". The record is from RNAcentral. Lineage: Eukaryota; Viridiplantae; Streptophyta; Magnoliopsida; Brassicales; Brassicaceae.